AACUAUGGCUUUGAGGAGCACUGUAGGCACUUGAAGCAUCGGUGUUGGAGCCAUUGGAUGUUAUGGUGCUUCCAGAGGCCUGCUGGUUCACAGUUAAGGCAGGGACAGAGCUCAGCCAUUGGACACCAUGCUGUUUAUGCAAACCAUCAUAAAGAUUGGAAAGGCUGUGGGAUGACCCAUAGGCAGUUGCACUUUGGCUUUGGGAACCAGUGUAGGAACUUGAUAGACUGGAGGUGGAGGAGCCAUUAGCUGUUGUGGCACCUCCACUUGCCUGCUGAGUUCCAGUUAAUGCAAGGGCAGAGCUCAGUUGAUUUGUGCCUUGCUGUGUCUGGAAACUACCAUAGGGUCUGGAAAGUCCUAGUGAAGGCCAAUUGGAAGACGGGCUUUGAGAACCAGUGAAGGAGCUCGAUGAGCUGGAGGAGCCAUUAGCUGUUGCGGCAGCUUCAGUUGUCUGCCGAUUU
Ictalurus punctatus (channel catfish) is the source of this 461-nucleotide long non-coding RNA. Lineage: Eukaryota; Metazoa; Chordata; Actinopteri; Siluriformes; Ictaluridae. The record is from Ensembl.